RNAcentral lists this ribosomal RNA (254 nucleotides) under uncultured bacterium. RNAcentral describes it as "partial 16S ribosomal RNA". It matches the Rfam family "Bacterial small subunit ribosomal RNA", at positions 524 to 776 of the family's 1533-position model. The record is from RNAcentral.
UACAGAGGUCUCAAGCGUUGUUCGGAUUCAUUGGGCGUAAAGGGUGCGUAGGCGGCGCGGUAAGUCGGGUGUGAAAUUUCGGAGCUUAACUCCGAAACUGCAUUCGAUACUGCCGUGCUUGAGGACUGGAGAGGAGACUGGAAUUUACGGUGUAGCAGUGAAAUGCGUAGAGAUCGUAAGGAAGACCAGUGGCGAAGGCGGGUCUGCUGGACAGUUCCUGACACUGAGGCACGAAGGCCAGGGGAGCAAACGGG